UGGGGCCGGGCGAAUUUCGCCCUUUCAGAUCGAACGCUGGCGGCAUGCCUAACACAUGCAAGUCGAACGAGACCUUCGGGUCUAGUGGCGGACGGGUGAGUAACGCGUGGGAACCUGCACUUCAGUGGGGGAUAACGACGGGAAACUGUCGCUAAUACCGCAUACGCCCUACGGGGGAAAGAUUUAUCGCUGAAGGAUGGGCCCGCGUCGGAUUAGCUAGUUGGUGAGGUAACGGCUCACCAAGGCGACGAUCCGUAGCUGGUCUAAGAGGAUGAUCAGCCACACUGGGACUGAGACACGGCCCAGACUCCUACGGGAGGCAGCAGUGGGGAAUAUUGGACAAUGGGGGAAACCCUGAUCCAGCAAUGCCGCGUGAGUGAUGAAGGCCUUAGGGUUGUAAAGCUCUUUCGGCGGGGACGAUGAUGACGGUACCCGCAGAAGAAGCCCCGGCUAACUUCGUGCCAGCAGCCGCGGUAAGACGAAGGGGGCUAGCGUUGUUCGGAAUUACUGGGCGUAAAGCGCACGUAGGCGGCCUUUCAAGUCAGGUGUGAAAGCCCCGAGCUUAACUCGGGAACUGCACUUGUUACUGUUGGGCUAGAGACCGGGAGAGGAUAGCGGAAUUCCCAGUGUAGAGGUGAAAUUCGUAGAUAUUGGGAAGAACACCAGUGGCGAAGGCGGCUAUCUGGACCGGUACUGACGCUGAGGUGCGAAAGCGUGGGGAGCAAACAGGAUUAGAUACCCUGGUAGUCCACGCCGUAAACGAUGAGUGCUAGACGUCGGGGAGCUUGCUUUUUCGGUGUCGCAGCUAACGCAUUAAGCACUCCGCCUGGGGAGUACGGCCGCAAGGUUAAAAACUCAAAGGAAUUGACGGGGGCCCGCACAAGCGGUUGGAGCAUGUGGUUUAAUUCGAUGCAACGCGAAGAACCUUUACCAGCCCUUUGACAUACUAGGUUUCGACUUCCGAGAGAUUGGAGUUUUCAGUUCGGCUGGGCCUAGUACAGGUGCUGCAUGGCUGUCCGUCAGCUCGUGUCGUGAGAUGUUUGGGUUAAGUCCCCGCCAACGAGCCGCAACCCUCACCUUUCAGUKGCCAUCAGGGUAUAUGCUGGGSACUCUGAAGAAACUGCCGGUGACAAGCCGGAGGAAGGUGGGGAUGACGUCAAGUCCUCAUGGCCCUUACGGGCUGGGCUACACACGUGCUACAAUGGCGGUGACAGUGGGAUGCGAUGGCGCAAGCCGGAGCGAAUCUCCAAAAGCCGUCUCAGUUCGGAUUGCACUCUGCAACUCGGGUGCAUGAAGUCGGAAUCGCUAGUAAUCGUGGAUCAGCAUGCCACGGUGAAUACGUUCCCGGGCCUUGUACACACCGCCCGUCACACCAUGGGAGUUGGUUUUACCUUAAGACGGUGCGCUAACCGCAAGGAGGCAGCCGGCCACGGUAAGGUCAGCGACUGGGGUGAAGUCGUAACAAGGUAGCCGUAGGGGAACCUGCGGCUGGAUCACCUCCUU
RNAcentral lists this ribosomal RNA (1503 nucleotides) under uncultured bacterium. Its description in RNAcentral is "bacterial SSU rRNA". It matches the Rfam family "Bacterial small subunit ribosomal RNA". The record is from RNAcentral.